GCAGCCGCGGUAAUACGUAGGUGGCAAGCGUUGUCCGGAUUUACUGGGUGUAAAGGGCGUGUAGGCGGAGCAGCAAGUCAGAAGUGAAAUCUAGGGGCUCAACCCCUAAACUGCUUUUGAAACUGUUGCCCUUGAGUAUCGGAGAGGCAGGCGGAAUUCCUAGUGUAGCGGUGAAAUGCGUAGAUAUUAGGAGGAACACCAGUGGCGAAGGCGGCCUGCUGGACGACAACUGACGCUGAGGCGCGAAAGCGUGGGGAGCAAACAGGAUUAGAUACCCC
RNAcentral lists this ribosomal RNA (278 nucleotides) under uncultured Prevotellaceae bacterium. RNAcentral describes it as "partial 16S ribosomal RNA". It matches the Rfam family "Bacterial small subunit ribosomal RNA", at positions 511 to 788 of the family's 1533-position model. Lineage: Bacteria; Pseudomonadati; Bacteroidota; Bacteroidia; Bacteroidales; Prevotellaceae. The record is from RNAcentral.